Molecule: ribosomal RNA, 1366 nt
Filed under: uncultured bacterium
Lineage: Bacteria
Description: bacterial SSU rRNA
Rfam family: Bacterial small subunit ribosomal RNA
Source: RNAcentral
AGAGUUUGAUCCUGGCUCAGGAUGAACGCUGGCGGCGCGCCUAACACAUGCAAGUCGAACGGCACCUGCCUUCGGGCAGAAGCGAGUGGCGAACGGCUGAGUAACACGUGGAGAACCUGCCCCCUCCCCCGGGAUAGCCGCCCGAAAGGACGGGUAAUACCGGAUACCCCGGGGGGGCGCAUGGCACCCCGGCUAAAGCCCCGACGGGAGGGGAUGGCUCCGCGGCCCAUCAGGUAGACGGCGGGGUGACGGCCCACCGUGCCGACAACGGGUAGCCGGGUUGAGAGACCGACCGGCCAGAUUGGGACUGAGACACGGCCCAGACUCCUACGGGAGGCAGCAGUGGGGAAUCUUGCGCAAUGGGGGGAACCCUGACGCAGCGACGCCGCGUGCGGGACGGAGGCCUUCGGGUCGUAAACCGCUUUCAGCAGGGAAGAGUCAAGACUGUACCCGCAGAAGAAGCCCCGGCUAACUACGUGCCAGCAGCCGCGGUAAUACGUAGGGGGCGAGCGUUAUCCGGAUUCAUUGGGCGUAAAGCGCGCGUAGGCGGCCCGGCAGGCCGGGGGUCGAAGCGGGGGGCUCAACCCCCCGAAGCCCCCGGAACCUCCGCGGCUUGGGUCCGGUAGGGGAGGGUGGAACACCCGGUGUAGCGGUGGAAUGCGCAGAUAUCGGGUGGAACACCGGUGGCGAAGGCGGCCCUCUGGGCCGAGACCGACGCUGAGGCGCGAAAGCUGGGGGAGCGAACAGGAUUAGAUACCCUGGUAGUCCCAGCCGUAAAACGAUGGACGCUAGGUGUGGGGGGACGAUCCCCCCAUGCCGCAGCCAACGCAUUAAGCGUCCCGCCUGGGGAGUACGGCCGCAAGGCUAAAACUCAAAGGAAUUGACGGGGGCCCGCACAAGCAGCGGAGCAUGUGGCUUAAUUCGAAGCAACGCGAAGAACCUUACCAGGGCUUGACAUAUGGGUGAAGCGGGGGAGACCCCGUGGCCGAGAGGAGCCCAUACAGGUGGUGCAUGGCUGUCGUCAGCUCGUGUCGUGAGAUGUUGGGUUAAGUCCCGCAACGAGCGCAACCCCCGCCGCGUGUUGCCAUCGGGUGAUGCCGGGAACCCACGCGGGACCGCCGCCGUCAAGGCGGAGGAGGGCGGGGACGACGUCAAGUCAUCAUGCCCCUUAUGCCCUGGGCUGCACACGUGCUACAAUGGCCGGUACAGAGGGAUGCCACCCCGCGAGGGGGAGCGGAUCCCGGAAAGCCGGCCCCAGUUCGGAUUGGGGGCUGCAACCCGCCCCCAUGAAGUCGGAGUUGCUAGUAAUCGCGGAUCAGCAUGCCGCGGUGAAUGCGUUCCCGGGCCUUGUACACACCGCCCGUCA